AACGAACGCUGGCGGCAUGCCUAACACAUGCAAGUCGAACGAGACCUUCGGGGCUAGUGGCGCACGGGUGCGUAACGCGUGGGAACCUGCCCUUAGGUUCGGAAUAACUCCCCGAAAGGGGUGCUAAUACCGGAUAAUGUCUUCGGGCCAAAGAUUUAUCGCCAUUGGAUGGGCCCGCGUUUGAUUAGCUAGUUGGUAGGGUAAAAGCCUACCAAGGCGACGAUCCAUAGCUGGUCUGAGAGGAUGAUCAGCCACACUGGGACUGAGACACGGCCCAGACUCCUACGGGAGGCAGCAGUGGGGAAUAUUGGACAAUGGGCGAAAGCCUGAUCCAGCAAUGCCGCGUGAGUGAUGAAGGCCUUAGGGUUGUAAAGCUCUUUUACCCGGGAUGAUAAUGACAGUACCGGGAGAAUAAGCCCCGGCUAACUUCGUG
This 433-nucleotide ribosomal RNA is filed under the name uncultured bacterium. RNAcentral's name for it is "partial 16S ribosomal RNA". It matches the Rfam family "Bacterial small subunit ribosomal RNA", at positions 29 to 507 of the family's 1533-position model. The record is from RNAcentral.